This 431-nucleotide ribosomal RNA is filed under the name uncultured bacterium. RNAcentral's name for it is "partial 16S ribosomal RNA". It matches the Rfam family "Bacterial small subunit ribosomal RNA", at positions 29 to 505 of the family's 1533-position model. The record is from RNAcentral.
AGCGAACGCUGGCGGCAGGCCUAACACAUGCAAGUCGAACGACAUCUUCGGAGUUAGUGGCGGACAGGUGAGUCACACGUGGGAACGUGCCUUUUGAUUCGGAAUAACACAGGGAAAAUUGUGCUAAUACCGAAUGUGCCCUUCGGGGGACAGAUUCAUCACCAUUAGAACGGCCCGCGUCUUAUUAGCUAGUUGGUGAGGUAACGGCUCACCAAGGCGACGAUCAUUAGCUGGUCUGAGAGGAGGACCAGCCACACUGGGACUGAGACACGGCCCAGACUCCGACAGGAGGCAGAAGUGGGGAAUCUUGCGCAAUGGGCGAAAGCCUGACGCAGCCAUGCCGCGUGAAUGAUGAAGGUCUUAGGAUUGUAAAAGGCUUUCACCGCGGUCGAUAAUGACGGUACCCGGAGAAGAAGCCGCGGCUAACUUCG